Molecule: ribosomal RNA, 434 nt
Filed under: uncultured bacterium
Lineage: Bacteria
Description: partial 16S ribosomal RNA
Rfam family: Bacterial small subunit ribosomal RNA
Source: RNAcentral
AGCGAACGCUGGCGGCAGGCCUAACACAUGCAAGUCGAACGAACCUUUCGGGGUUAGUGGCGGACGGGUGAGUAACACGUGGGAACGUGCCUUUAGGUUCGGAAUAACUCAGGGAAACUUGUGCUAAUACCGAAUGUGCCCUUCGGGGGAAAGAUUUAUCGCCUUUAGAGCGGCCCGCGUCUGAUUAGCUAGUUGGUUGAGGUAAGGGCUCACCAAGGCGACGAUCAGUAGCUGGUCUGAGAGGAUGAACAGCCACAUUGGGACUGAGACACGGCCCAAACUCCUACGGGAGGCAGCGGUGGGGAAUCUUGCGCAAUGGGCGAAAGCCUGACGCAGCCAUGCCGCGUGAAUGAUGAAGGUCUUAGGAUUGUAAAAUUCUUUCACCGGGGACGAUAAUGACGGUACCCGGAGAAGAAGCCCCGGCUAACUUCGUG